AUGCCCGUGUUUAAGCACUGGAAGGAUUACAUGGACCCAGAUGGACAUGUCCGAGAUGGGAUCUUCAGGAACUUUGUAGGAAAAGUUGGUAACAAGUUUCAGAUGGACGUUGAUGCUGUGCCAGUUAGGAAGGUAUGUACUGAAAUGCUGAAACGUGCGACUCGCCAACAACAAUACAGGCUCAAGAAAGAGUAUUUUGACCCGCACCCACUCCAUUUGGUGACGAGAAUGUCUCCUGUCCCCUCGAUGACCGAUGAGCAGUGGAAUGAGCUAGUGGAAAGCUGGAAGGAUCCCAAAAAGAUGGAGAUAUGUGAAACUAACAAAAAUAAUCGAGCUCAAGUUAAGUUUCACCAAACCACUGGCUCCAGCUACCCUGUGCACUGUGAUAAUCUGGUAAGUCAAACAUGUAGCUCU
Molecule: ribosomal RNA, 414 nt
Filed under: Triticum aestivum (bread wheat)
Lineage: Eukaryota; Viridiplantae; Streptophyta; Magnoliopsida; Poales; Poaceae
Description: partial small subunit ribosomal RNA
Source: RNAcentral